ACAUUACUCACUAAUACUCCAAAAAUCGACUUUAGCGGACAUCGUUCGAAAUUUAUCAUCAACAAAAAUUAAAUGGCAACCAAUCAUUCAAAAAGUAAAAUGUCUGACGCUAUGUUGCUUCCGAACGGUAAAAUGAUAUUAAGUACUGACUCUGAGUCAGAUGAAGAAAAGUCUGCAGCAAAGCAUAAAUCGUCUGACCUAAAUUCAAAAAAGAAGAAAAAGAAGCACCAUAAACAUAAACACAAGCAUAAGCAUUCUUCUCAUAAAUUAAAAAAAAGUGGUGAUAGCCAUCACAAGCAUAAACACCGUACUCACAUUGAUAAAGAAGAAGUUAAUAAUAUGGGGUUGGAAGAACUUGAAAAGCAAAAAGCUUUAUUAGAAGCUAAAUUAGCCAAAGUGGAAGCUCAGGCCUCUUUAGUUUCUGCAGAAUAUGGCAGUUCUGAUGAAGCUAGUCCAUUUGUGUUUGAUUUGAUGAAUCAGCAUGAGGAGACCCUUAGGGUAACUACCUCAUUUGCAUCUGAGGUAAGGCUUGUUCAAAAGACUGAUAAAACUAAUGCUAAGACUGAACCUAGAAAGAAAAGCAGCCAUAAAGACCAUAAAAGUACAAAAGAUGUUCAAGACAAACCAUCAGUCCAUGCUCGUCUUGGAAUUUUGCCUAGAGAUAACAAUUCCAUAAGAGAUAGUAGAGACAAAAGCAUUUCUCGACGGGAUAAGAAUGAAUCAUCUGAAAGUAUUCACUCACGAGAUAAAUCACCUAAACAGAAAAAAUCAUUUUCACCCUCAAGAAAUGAACUUAUUCCUAAAGUUGAUGCGUCUCGUCAUUUUCGUGGUAGAAGCCGUUCUCCACUUUCUCGAUAUGAAAACAGACGGGAAAGAAAAGAUUGGCCUUCUCCUAGGCAUCAGAAUCGUAGUAGUCCAUCACCUAGAGCUUCAUAUCACCGACAAUCAGACAAAGGCCGACUAGAUCCAAGAGUACCAAGAUCUCGUAGUCCAAUGUUAUCUAAUCGCAGAUCUCCAGAUACUAAAAUGCGUAGUCCUAGGCGAUCAAGAAGCCCGAUUCCUCUUAAUCGCAGAUCUACUGACCAUUUUUAUCCAGACAGGCAUAGAAGGUCUCCUCCUAGACGUAUGUCACCUAGACAUCCAAAUGAUAGGUAUAAUCAACGACCUGGGAGUAAUAGUAGACUUCGAAGUCCAGACCGAAAUGGAAGAACUCAUAGCCCACGAUCUUUUAGAGAUCGAAGACGAUCUAGAGAUAGAUCACCUAGAAGUCGUAAUUCUCGUAAUAGUCCUCGACGAAAGUCUAACAAUCUAAACUCAGAAGAUCAGGAUAGGAAACAUAAAAGAGGUGAAAAAGAUAAAUUUAAAGAUAGUUUAUCUGAAGGGCAAAAAGCACAGCAUGAUGAAUCCUCUGAUGACCAAAAUGUGGAUUUAGAAUUAGAAGAUGAAGAAGAGGAUGAAGAAACAGUUAUUCAAAGAAGGAGACAGCAACGUCAAGAGCUUCUAAAAAGAUUAGGUGUUGAUCAGUCUCAAACAGGAAGUGGAAUGUCUUCUCCAGUACACUCAAACAGUGGAACAAGUACUCCUGAUUCAGCUGUCAUAGGUGAUGAGGCUGCUGCUAAUUUUUGGGCUGAGCAAGAUGAUCAGUCUAAUGAUUUUGAAGCGUCUAUAAUGGACAAAAGAAAAAUCAUGGGUUUGCAAGAAGCUGGUGCUGAAAACAUAUCUGAUGCUGAGAAGAAAAAGAAGCUCGAUAUGUUUUCUGAGGCAGAUAAUUUUUGUUCAGACCUGAGCCCAGGGACUUCUCGUUUAAUAUCUGCAUCUGGCCAAGAGAAUCCUAAUCUAACUGAUAAUUGGGAUGAUGCAGAAGGAUACUAUCGUGUGAGAAUUGGAGAAGCUCUCGAUUCAAGAUACACUGUGUAUGGAUACACAGGACAAGGUGUAUUUAGUAAUGUUAUCAGAGCAAGAGAUAUGGCUCGUGGUAAUCAAGAUGUUGCAAUCAAAAUAAUAAGGAACAAUGAAAUUAUGCAUAAAACUGGUUUGAAAGAAUUGGAAAUGCUUCGGCGCUUGAAUGAUGCUGAUCCCGAUGAUAAGUUUCAUUGUUUACGUCUAUAUAGGCACUUCUUUCAUAAACAGCAUUUGUGCUUAGUUUUUGAACCUCUAUGUAUGAAUCUGAGGGAAGUUCUUAAGAAAUAUGGUAAAGAUGUUGGCCUACAUAUCAAAGCAGUACGAUCAUACAGUCAACAGUUAUUUUUGGCUUUGAAACUACUGAAAAGAUGUAAUAUAUUGCAUGCAGAUAUCAAGCCUGAUAAUAUAUUGGUAGAUGACCGUAAGCUUGUCUUAAAGCUUUGUGAUUUUGGAUCUGCGUCUCAUGUUGCUGAAAAUGAUGUCACACCAUAUUUGGUGAGCAGAUUUUACAGAGCACCUGAAAUUAUUCUAGGUUUGAAUUAUGAUUUUGGAAUUGACACAUGGAGUGUUGGUUGCACGCUAUAUGAAUUGUACACAGGAAAAAUAAUGUUUGCUGGUAAAUCCAAUAACCAAAUGUUAAAGCAUUUUAUGGAUUUAAAAGGAAAGUUCCCAAACAAAAUAAUUAAAAAAGGUGCUUUUCGAGAGCAACAUUUCAAUAGUAGUUGUAAUUUUCUCUCACAUGAAGUGGACAAAGUCACUGAAAGGGAAAAAGUAGUAGUUCUAACAAAUAUUAAUCCAAGUCGAGAUUUGCAGGCAGAGCUUGUAGGCUCCCAACGUUUACCUGAUGAUCAAUAUCGUAAAGUUUGCCAACUCAAAGAUAUAUUAGAAAAGAUUUUGAUGCUUGAUCCUGCCAAGAGAAUAUCAAUCAAUCAAGCUUUAACACAUCCAUUUAUUCAAGAAAAGAUAUGAGGAAUAUUUUCCUUCUGUGAAGAUUUUGAACUGAAAACAUUUUAACACAAGAUACAUCACUCAACUGAGCAACAUCUGCAACUUUUCAAAAACUUUUUAUUUAUUUGUUCCCAAAUGAGUUAUGAAAACUAAACGUAAUUUGUGCCAUGCAUUGCUGUAGAAAUUCGCUAUGUAAGCUGACAGAAAGCAGUAUAUUGCUUGUGGUAAUUCGUUUUCUGUCAUUCAUUGGCUCCCAGAAGAUACUCAUGUAUAAUGGAACCAGGCAAUUCCUUACUAAUUGAGGCGUAGAGACUGCAGUCCAUAACCUGUUGAUAUAAGAAGGGACAGAAUACUACUGAUGAAGAAUACAGUUACAAGCAUUCUUGAUGGUUGCCCAUUUGAUAUAAGUAACAACUCUACAAAGCCUGUUAUGCUAAUUGUACAUAUUUAGCAUUGGUUCAUGAAAUUUAGAAUACUAAAAGUUUUGACAUAUUUAUUUUAAUAUCAAGAAUUGUUUAGAAUGUUAUGUAAUUACUGUUAUAAACAAUUUGUAUAUUGAAUUAAAUAAAGCAUUUGUGAAUUGUA
RNA transcript from Parasteatoda tepidariorum (common house spider), 3435 nucleotides. It is a transcript of the gene named Pre-mRNA processing factor 4 kinase, with no coding region annotated. The record is from RefSeq and is a predicted model, not a curated record. NCBI's taxonomy places the organism in Eukaryota, Metazoa, Arthropoda, Arachnida, Araneae, Theridiidae.